This 395-nucleotide ribosomal RNA is filed under the name Melibe engeli. Its description in RNAcentral is "partial 16S ribosomal RNA". It matches the Rfam family "Bacterial large subunit ribosomal RNA", at positions 1882 to 2571 of the family's 2925-position model. The record is from RNAcentral. Lineage: Eukaryota; Metazoa; Mollusca; Gastropoda; Nudibranchia; Dendronotidae.
AGCCUGGAGAUACCAUUCUAGGUCUAUUCUGCUCACUGAAAAUUUAAGAGCCGCGGUAUUUUGACCGUGCUAAGGUAGCGAAAUCAAUUGUUCUCUAAUUAGGGACCAGAAUGAAUGAACCCACGGGGGGCAGCUGUCUCUCCUUUACUAUUUCGAACUUGCAGGGAAGGUGCAAAUGCCCUCCAGACAAUGAAAGACGAUAAGACCCUGGGAGCUUGGCGGACAGGUGUACUCCGAACGAUUUUGCUGGGGCGGCAUCGUCGUACCUGACGAUAGGGAAACAAGACAAUAAGAGAAAGAGUAAGCUACCCCAGGGAUAACAGCGUAAUUUUCUUUUUAAGCUUUCGACCUCGAUGUUGGACUAGGGAAACGGUUGGUUAGAAGCCUACCCGUCG